Molecule: long non-coding RNA, 329 nt
Organism: Echinops telfairi (small Madagascar hedgehog)
Lineage: Eukaryota; Metazoa; Chordata; Mammalia; Afrosoricida; Tenrecidae
Exons: 2
Source: RefSeq, a predicted model, not a curated record
CCGCCUGGUUAACGCUCCUGCGUGGGCACCAGCACCGGGAAGUCCUUUGUUAGAAACCUCUUUGUUCACUCCGGAGCCCUUUUGCCAUGACUGCCGGGCCCCACUGGAAAGUGAGGUUCAGACGCUAUACACUCUGGUGUCAUGGAAAACUGAAAAAGGCAUAUCUUGUGAAUUUCUAGCAACCCCUUGGAUUCAUUGGAAAACUCUGGCUAAUUGCAAACCUAUAUUUUACAUAUACUGGAGAUUUUGUGCCAAAACAAAACUUUACUUACUGCAGAACUUGAUGGAAAUAAAAUAAAGGCGACAUGAACAAUAAAGGCUUAACCUAU